AGUGAACGCUGGCGGUAGGCCUAACACAUGCAAGUCGAACGGCAGCACAGUAAGAGCUUGCUCUUACGGGUGGCGAGUGGCGGACGGGUGAGGAAUACAUCGGAAUCUACUUUUUCGUGGGGGAUAACGUAGGGAAACUUACGCUAAUACCGCAUACGACCUACGGGUGAAAGCAGGGGAUCUUCGGACCUUGCGCGAUUGAAUGAGCCGAUGUCGGAUUAGCUAGUUGGCGGGGUAAAGGCCCACCAAGGCGACGAUCCGUAGCUGGUCUGAGAGGAUGAUCAGCCACACUGGAACUGAGACACGGUCCAGACUCCUACGGGAGGCAGCAGUGGGGAAUAUUGGACAAUGGGCGCAAGCCUGAUCCAGCCAUACCGCGUGGGUGAAGAAGGCCUUCGGGUUGUAGGGCCCUUUUGUUGGGAAAGAAAAGCAGCAGGUUAAUACCCCGCUGUUCUGACGGUACCCAAAGAAUAAGCACCGGCUAACUUCGUG
Molecule: ribosomal RNA, 492 nt
Filed under: uncultured bacterium
Lineage: Bacteria
Description: partial 16S ribosomal RNA
Rfam family: Bacterial small subunit ribosomal RNA
Source: RNAcentral